Molecule: ribosomal RNA, 253 nt
Filed under: uncultured bacterium
Lineage: Bacteria
Description: partial 16S ribosomal RNA
Rfam family: Bacterial small subunit ribosomal RNA
Source: RNAcentral
UACGUAGGGUGCGAGCGUUAAUCGGAAUUACUGGGCGUAAAGCGUGCGCAGGCGGUUCGUUGUGUCCGUCGUGAAAGCCCCGGGCUUAACCUGGGAACUGCGAUGGAAACUAGCGAGCUGGAGUGUGGCAGAGGGGGGUGGAAUUCCGCGUGUAGCAGUGAAAUGCGUAGAUAUGCGGAGGAACACCGAUGGCGAAGGCAAUCCCCUGGACCUGUACUGACGCUCAUGCACGAAAGCGUGGGGAGCAAACAGG